GUCCUCUUGAUGAUAUUUUGAGGUCUGGCCUGCUCACUGACAAGGUUUUGAAGAGCCGCGGUAUUUUGACCGUGCAAAGGUAGCAUAAUCAUUAGUCUCUUAAUUAGGGGCUGGAAUGAAUGGCUUGACGAGAAAUCAACUGUCUCUUAAUAAUUUUUAUAAUUUAACUUUUGAGUCAAAAGGCUUAAAUUUUUCUUUAGGACGAGAAGACCCUAUAGAGCUUAACAUUUUAUUUUUAUAUAGUUUUUAGUUGAUCUUUCUAUAUUUAAUGAUAAUGUUUUGUUGGGGUGACAUGAAGAAUAAUUAAACUCUUCAUUAUAAAAUCAUUGAUUUAUGUUUAUCAUGAUCCAUAAUUUAUGAUCAUAAGAUUAAGUUACCUUAGGGAUAACAGCGUAAUUGUUUUCGAGAGCUCAUAUCGACAAAGCAGAUUGCGACCUCGAUGUUGGAUUAAGAAAAAUUUUGGGUGCAGGAGCCCAAUAAUUAGGUCUGUUCGACCUUUAAAUUCUUACA
RNAcentral lists this ribosomal RNA (510 nucleotides) under Calliptamus barbarus. RNAcentral describes it as "partial large subunit ribosomal RNA". It matches the Rfam family "Bacterial large subunit ribosomal RNA", at positions 1830 to 2600 of the family's 2925-position model. The record is from RNAcentral. Lineage: Eukaryota; Metazoa; Arthropoda; Insecta; Orthoptera; Acrididae.